ACUUACCCUGUUUCCUUGGGCCUGCCCGUACAUUGCGAUCUGAGGGAGAAUUCGGAAAGUAGGAAAGUGUUUCAGUAGAAUGAUUUGCUUUAUCUUAGUCUGUCCAUCUCAUGACAGGCCAAUGUCAAAUUAGUUCAAGGCCAGAAGGAAAGUCUAGGACUUUUUCUGGCACCUUAAUAGGACUCUGAGCAAUGCGCCCCUGCAGGCCAUGGUAGACAGCUAAGGUAAACUGAGGAGUUACAGUAUCAAAGACAGACCUACAGGUGCUUCACAGUUACAUCCACUACAGCUUAGAAAGUAGGGCCAUGUUAAGUAUGUACUUGGAGCAAUACCCUCUGAAUUUCCUUCUUUUUACCACUUUGAUUCUUAGGACUUGGUUCACAGUGCCACAGCAGGGCUACUGACUCUGUUGUUCGGAAAGUGACAUUUGUGACAAAGGUCAGCGAGAUUUAUAGCCAGAGGAAGAUUUGCAGAAACAAAUGAAUCACUUUAUGACUUGGCAGAUUUUAUUCCAGAGAAGUGUCUAAUGACAGUGUUUCUCAGCCAUAUCAAGAUGCCACCUAUAUCUGAGUCACCAAUGAUAUUUAUUAAAAUUUUCCUCCCUGGUUGGGCAUGGUGGUACAUGCCUAGUACUUAAGAGAUGGAAGCAGGAGGAAGAGAAGUUCAAGGCCACCCUCAGUUACAUGUAGGGAGUUUGAAAUCAGUCUGGGUUAUGUGAUACUCUAUAUCAAAAAACAAAAUAACAACAACAUUUAUAAAUAAAUAAAGUGUUCAUUCCUUUUCUGUUCCCAGACCUUUGUUAAGGCCUCAGAGGGAUGGGUCUGCAACACUGUAUUAAAAAAGUCGUUGUCUGCUGAAUUUUACAGAAACUACUAGCAAAGCAGAGAGGCAAAGUGUAAAUUCUGAAGGCACAGACAUCAGGGGUCAAAGCCUGGCCUUGUCAUUUAUUCAUUCUGCCCUUUGGACAAGUUAGUUCUUGGACCUCUUUGGCCCUUGGUUUCAGCCUAAUAAUAUUAUUGACCUUACACGGCUAUUAUUAUAUUAUGCCAGAGGAGCCAAUCCAUUUAAAGUUUAGGGUAGCAUCUGGUAUAUGAUGAUGGCAAAGGAGAUCACCAUUGUUAUAAUUACCAUGUAAAAAGGCUUUUAGGCAAUGGUUACUGACUAUAAUUGUUUGUUGACUGGGUACACUGUGAAAGUGUUUGCCUACAUGCAUGUAUGUGUACCACACACAUGCCUGGUGUCUCAGGAGGCCAGAAGAAGGUGUCAGAUCCCCUGAAACUGGAGUUACCGAUGGUUGUGAGGCAACAAGUAGAUUCUGCAAACCAAACUUGGGCCCUCUGAAAGAUCGGCAACAGGAAAUGAACUGUCUACUCCACUGAGUUUAUCUUGAACAAAGAAGACCUCAAAGCUGCUCCACAGUGACACACUUCCUCCUACAGGGGCCACACCUACUCCAACAAAGCCACACCUCCUAAUAGUGCCACUCCCCUUGGGGGCCAUUUUCUUUCAAACCACCACAAUACUCAAAUACGUUUUCAGCUUACUUUCUGUAUGUAUUUAUGUGUUUGUAUGUGUGAAGACUAAGGGGUAUCUGUGUGUUUGCAUGUGGUAGAGGUUAGAGUCAACGUCCAGUGUGGUCUUCAGUUGUGCUUUAUUUUUUGAGGCAGGGUUCCUCUAGCUAAACUUGGAGCUUAUUGAUUAUAGCUAGAUUUCCUGGGCUAUAGCUAGAUUUCCAGCAAGCCCCAGGUAUCCUUCUGUUUGCCCUUUCCUUCCCCUCAAAUGCUGGGCUUACAGGUGUGUGCCAUGGAGGGUUUGUUUGUUUGUUUUUUAAAUGCUUUUUCUGGGAGAUGGUUGUAUUUCAGUUACCUCUGAGAUGGAAACAUCCCAUCUUGAAGGGAAGCUCCCUCAACAGGAAGGUGAACAACGCAAAACAGCUUGAGGAAGUCCCUGAAGCCAACCAGAUUUUCUAGGCCCUGCCCAGCCAGAGUAAACAUUAACCCUGAGCCACCCUCAGAUGGGAAGCUGAAGCAAAGAAAGACUCUUAGAUGGGAAAAGCUACAAAGCAGCCGGAGGCCAGACCAGCAGCCCAGAUUCGGGAAGAACCUGGCACGGACUACCUCCAACCUGUUGAGCUUCCUGCAGGCUGUGCAGUGUGCUCCAGGUUCCCAGGGACCCCCGUGGAAGGGUCGGUCAACCCUCUGGGGUUGCGACCCACAAGUUGGGAAACACUGUUCCAAAAGUAAAGAAGGCUUUAAGGAAGAGGAGUGGCAUCAUCUGUCUAACACGGCUGAGCAGAGAAGAGGAAGAAAGAGAAGAGAGUGGAUUGUUGCACGUAACAACAUGAAAUCUUCACAGGAAGUUUCAGUUCAGUGGGAAAUGGGAAUAUAAUUAAAGAGAACUAUAGAGACAAUUCCACCGGGAGACCGGAUAGCUGUUUUCAAAGCAGGAAAAUUGGCUGGGGCUGUGAAACCAAAUGAGAAUUUGGGUUUUUGUUUGUUGUAAGGGGGAGAAAAUGUAGCACAUUGAUGUUUAAUGUUGAUUGUGAAGAUCUAAUAGAAAGAUAAAAAUGGUCAUCAGGAAAAAAAAGAGAGGGGAAAAUUAUUGGAGGGAUACCUCAGUGUAUUUGAGAAGGGAAGGGGAUGGAGUCUGAUACAGUAGAGUGGAGAGCAUUGCUAGUUUAGUGACAGGAUGGGAGAUGUACCCUGUGGCCAGCAAUGCAAGUAAGAGGUGGUUGCUGGUGAGAUUUUUUCUCCUGGUUGAACGUAUUUUGUGAGUGGCACAGAAAGUGAGAUCACUAGAGGAGAAAGACAGUAGAAGUCUGAGAUGUGGGAGCAAGAUUAGGAAGUCAAGAACUCUCAUUGGCCAGGUUGUAUUAAGGUCACACCUCAGGUUAGAGAUUGUGAUUGUGUAGUAUCAUCUGAUACAUUAGUUGGUUUCCUCCCAUUUCAUAUAGCAGAGCAGGCUCAGGAUUGGUGAAGGAAGACAUAGAUUUAAUCUGGGUGGGGUUAGCCUGGUUCCUCACACUGAAAUCUGUGAGAGGCCAUUUUUGAAAGUCUGUCUUUUCAGCUCUCCCUAAACUAUCUGCUACUCACAACAUCACAAUAUCAGUGUUUUCCUUGCCUCUGGGAUAGAAGGUGUGUGUGUGAGUGUGUGUGUGUGUGUGUGUGUGUGUGUGU
This is a non-coding RNA of Cricetulus griseus (Chinese hamster), 3176 nucleotides long. NCBI's taxonomy places the organism in Eukaryota, Metazoa, Chordata, Mammalia, Rodentia, Cricetidae. The record is from RefSeq and is a predicted model, not a curated record.